Long non-coding RNA from Varroa destructor (honeybee mite), 1343 nucleotides. RefSeq lists it as uncharacterized. The record is from RefSeq and is a predicted model, not a curated record. Lineage: Eukaryota; Metazoa; Arthropoda; Arachnida; Mesostigmata; Varroidae.
AUAUUUUAGCUGGUCAUGAAAUGUACUGCUAGGACAACUAUAUAAAAUACUUAACUCGCUCUCUCGUGAGCUAUAUGAUUAAGGCACAAUAUUUAACUGUGAAUACAAGAUAAAGCACUGAUCUGUUCCUUUCGUAUAUUCUAUUUAUCAGAAAUGAUAUAGUUUCCCUGAAAAACGUAUCGAUUGCAUUUCCUUUAAGUUACGAUACCACAUCGAUAUGAGGAUCUAUAGUUUCUGUUACGGCCGACAACUAUCAGUUUAAUAUCAUUCACGCACUGGCUUCUGCCAAUCUAAUAUAAAUCAGGAGUCUUCUUUCUUUCUGUUUGUAUCUUACCUACUAGUUAAAGUUCUUUUUCGGUUUACGCUGCAACUUGUCCAUUGCCUAAUUCAUUGUCGACCAGUGCCUGGCGAAAACGACGGCGUGCGUAGCGGCUUGCGUCGUCCAGGACCCUUCUUCAGGGCUGUUACAAGACGUCAGCCGCAAAAGACUCCCGAUGCUAGCAUAGAAGCUGUAUUAUAGGAGAAAGACAAUGAGCAGGUGAGAGAAGCACUGUUGGCCAACUACCCAGUUCCACAGUAGCAUUAGGCCACAGGCUGCCACCAAUAGUUUCCACCGAGGCAAACAACUGUAAUGGCAGGACGCUCGAAUAGAGCCCUCGACACUGGACGGACGGUACCGUAGAAACAACGGUGAGCGGUUACGUCGGCCGAGCACUUCCAUUAUCGACUUUAUAGCGCUGCCGCCCCCGCUGGCGCUAGCCACUGAGUCGUUGUAACGGCUGGUGGGCAGCAAAGCGAAAGCACAAAACUUCUUUCCCUGGUCGAUCCUUCCCUGUGUAACUGCCUAUCUGCGUAUGGAUAUACUUUUUGCGUCGGUGUAUCGAACCGCUCUUUCGGCACCUCUACUCACUCAUACACCGCUAACUCUCCGGUGGGUCCUCUCUGUCUCGUACUUUUUUUUUUUUUUGUAAAACAUCGGUUGCUCGAGAUCGGCGUACAAUCAGGCAAUGGCGUAAUGAACUGAACGUAGCAUACCGCUAGCCUUGUAUUUUGCUGGACACAGGACGGAAAGGCUCUACGGUGACAGUGCAGUGUAUUUCAGCAAGAAGGACUCGAGUAGCGGAACUUCACUUGAAUGUCGUCCUAGAUGUGCUAGUAGCAAAAGCUAAAGAAGAACCUUUCGUACAAGCGGUCUCUCGAAAAUCCCUAUCGUGUCAUGUCUUCUUGCCACGUUGGAUCGCAUACAAGCUGAGUAACAAUGACGCAAUCAGUUGGUAAAAGAGUUGCCACCUUCUCUUUGUUGGAAAGCCUACGGAGGUUGUCACGAACAUGCCCAACUACUC